RNAcentral lists this ribosomal RNA (427 nucleotides) under uncultured bacterium. RNAcentral describes it as "bacterial SSU rRNA". It matches the Rfam family "Bacterial small subunit ribosomal RNA", at positions 357 to 776 of the family's 1533-position model. The record is from RNAcentral.
GGGAAUCUUCCACAAUGGGCGCAAGCCUGAUGGAGCAACACCGCGUGAGUGAAGAAGGGUUUCGGCUCGUAAAGCUCUGUUGUUGGAGAAGAACGUUAAGUAGAGUGGAAAGUUACUUAAGUUACGGUAUCUAACCAGAAAGGGACGGCUAACUACGUGCCAGCAGCCGCGGUAAUACGUAGGUCCCGAGCGUUGUCCGGAUUUAUUGGGCGUAAAGCGAGCGCAGGUGGUUCCUUAAGUCUGAUGUAAAAGGCAGUGGCUCAACCAUUGUGUGCAUUGGAAACUGGGGAACUUGAGUGCAGGAGAGGGGAGUGGAAUUCCAUGUGUAGCGGUGAAAUGCGUAGAUAUAUGGAGGAACACCGGAGGCGAAAGCGGCUCUCUGGCCUGUAACUGACACUGAGGCUCGAAAGCGUGGGGAGCAAACAGG